Molecule: transfer RNA, 90 nt
Filed under: Candidatus Woesebacteria bacterium GWB1_37_5
Lineage: Bacteria; Candidatus Woeseibacteriota
Also listed under: 3 other names
Description: tRNA-Ser
Rfam family: tRNA
About the family: Transfer RNA (tRNA) molecules are approximately 80 nucleotides in length. Their secondary structure includes four short double-helical elements and three loops (D, anti-codon, and T loops). Further hydrogen bonds mediate the characteristic L-shaped molecular structure. tRNAs have two regions of fundamental functional importance: the anti-codon, which is responsible for specific mRNA codon recognition, and the 3' end, to which the tRNAs corresponding amino acid is attached (by aminoacyl-tRNA synthetases). tRNAs cope with the degeneracy of the genetic code in two manners: having more than one tRNA (with a specific anti-codon) for a particular amino acid; and 'wobble' base-pairing, i.e. permitting non-standard base-pairing at the 3rd anti-codon position.
Source: RNAcentral
GGAGAGGUGCGAGAGCGGUUUAAUCGGUACGAUUGGAGAUCGUAUGUGAUCGUAAGGUCACCGAGGGUUCGAAUCCCUCCCUCUCCGCCA